This 1011-nucleotide long non-coding RNA is filed under the name Castor canadensis (American beaver). RNAcentral describes it as "lncRNA (ENSCCNG00000028253.1)". The record is from RNAcentral. Lineage: Eukaryota; Metazoa; Chordata; Mammalia; Rodentia; Castoridae.
GCCUAAUACUACAUUGUUUUGUUGUGUAAAGAAGAGAUUAAAAAGAUUAUAUAAGAGUAUUAAAUUACCCAGCGGUUUCAAAUACCUGACCAAAAUCCUUUAAGUGUCAUCAAAGACAAGGAGAGACUGCAGAACUGCUGACAUGCAGGAGACUUAAGAGAUGUGUCACUAAAUGCAUUGUGAGGUUCUGGGACAAACAAAGAAUGUUAAUGGAAACACCAGGGAAAUUGAAGUAAAGUCAGUAGUUUAGUUAGUACCAUCCCAGGAUUAUUUAAGAUGUUAUACAAGAUGUUACCAGACUGAGUGUGGGAUAUACAGGAAUUCCCUGUUCAAUAUUUUCAGCUCCUCUGUGAGUCCAAAACUAUUUCAGAAUCAAAAGUAAAAACAAAUGACCAAGUUUCUGGUAGUUCUUGAGUAUCAGAAGCAAAUUUGUGAGUGGCAACUGCUGAAGAAUGGUUAGUGUGGUGGAAUGUAUAUUUGUAACACAGCAUGUUUGAUGUCUGCUGUGACAGUCACACCAUGUGGGUCUCCUGUCUAAUUCCCUGGCAGGGUGUGCUGGGUGCACCGUGUCACCGGUAUGUGGGUGUACCCUUUCCUGGAACACAUUGGGUCAGGAGCCAGGAUCAUCUUCUUCGGAUCAACAACCAUCUUAAUGAACUUUCUGUACCUGCUGGGAGAAGUUCUGAACAGCUAUAUCUGGGAUACACAGAGAAAGCCUCCAUCUUGGCAAGACACGUAAUCUUGUCUAAGUUGUGCAAAACCUGUCCAAAGUAUACGUUAAGAUAACAUAAACACCGGAAAGUGGAAACACCAUAGCACAGACACAUAGUGAUUUGAGUCGAAAACACAUCCAAAGGAUGGCUGGGGAUUCUAGAGAGCUUGCCUCUGACACAGUCCCAGCAUUCUACACAUCACCUGUGAGUGGACUCUGUUCCACAAACACUGAGCAUUGUGCCACCGUGUCAGGAGUUCAAUCUAGCAGACAAAUAAAGCAUGUUGAUUGUAUGGUCA